CCUACGGGAGGCAGCAGUGAGGAAUAUUGGUCAAUGGGCUUACGCCUGAACCAGCCAAGUCGCGUGAGGGAAGACUGCCCUAUGGGUUGUAAACCUCUUUUGUCAGGGAGCAAUUGGCGCUACGUGUAGCGUUAUCGAGAGUACCUGAAGAAAAAGCAUCGGCUAACUCCGUGCCAGCAGCCGCGGUAAUACGGAGGAUGCGAGCGUUAUCCGGAUUUAUUGGGUUUAAAGGGUGCGUAGGCGGAAUGCCAAGUCAGCGGUAAAAUCGCGGGGCUCAACCUCGCUCCGCCGUUGAAACUGGCGGUCUUGAGUGGGCGAGAAGUAUGCGGAAUGCGUGGUGUAGCGGUGAAAUGCAUAGAGAUCACGCAGAACUCCGAUUGCGAAGGCAGCAUACCGGCGCCCAACUGACGCUGAAGCACGAAAGCGUGGGUAUCGAACAGGAUUAGAUACCCUUGUAGUC
This 460-nucleotide ribosomal RNA is filed under the name uncultured bacterium. Its description in RNAcentral is "partial 16S ribosomal RNA". It matches the Rfam family "Bacterial small subunit ribosomal RNA", at positions 338 to 795 of the family's 1533-position model. The record is from RNAcentral.